RNAcentral lists this ribosomal RNA (468 nucleotides) under uncultured bacterium. RNAcentral's name for it is "partial 16S ribosomal RNA". It matches the Rfam family "Bacterial small subunit ribosomal RNA", at positions 28 to 507 of the family's 1533-position model. The record is from RNAcentral.
GACGAACGCUGGCGGCGUGCUUAACACAUGCAAGUCGAACGGAAAGGCCCUGCUUUUGUGGGGUGCUCGAGUGGCGAACGGGUGAGUAACACGUGAGUAACCUGCCCUUGACUUUGGGAUAACUUCAGGAAACUGGGGCUAAUACCGGAUAGGAGCUCCUGCUGCAUGGUGGGGGUUGGAAAGUUUCGGCGGUUGGGGAUGGACUCGCGGCUUAUCAGCUUGUUGGUGGGGUAGUGGCUUACCAAGGCUUUGACGGGUAGCCGGCCUGAGAGGGUGACCGGCCACAUUGGGACUGAGAUACGGCACAGACUCCUACGGGAGGCAGCAGUGGGGAAUAGUGCAAAAUGGGCGGAAGCCUGAUGCAGCAACGCCGCGUGCGGGAUGACGGCCUUCGGGUUGUAAACCGCUUUCGCCGGUGACGAAGCGUGAGUGACGGUAAUGGGUAAAGAAGCACCGGCUAACUACGUG